CCUACGGGGGGCAGCAGUGGGGAAUAUUGCACAAUGGGGGAAACCCUGAUGCAGCAACGCCGCGUGAGUGAUGACGUCCUUCGGGUUGUAAAGCUCUAUCUGCAGGGACGAUAAUGACGGUACCUGACUAAGAAGCCACGGCUAACUACGUGCCAGCAGCCGCGGUAAUACGUAGGUGGCGAGCGUUGUCCGGAUUUACUGGGCGUAAAGGGAGCGUAGGCGGAGCUGUAAGUGUGAUGUGAAAUACUGGGGCUCAACUUGAGUGCUGCAUUUGAAACUGGUAGUCUGGAGUGCAGGAGAGGAGAACGGAAUUCCUAGUGUAGCGGUGAAAUGCGUAGAGAUUAGGAAGAACACCAGUGGCGAAGGCGAUUCACUGGACUGUAACUGACGUUGAGGCUCGAAAGCGUGGGGAGCAAACAGGAUUAGAUACCCGAGUAGUC
Molecule: ribosomal RNA, 440 nt
Filed under: uncultured bacterium
Lineage: Bacteria
Description: partial 16S ribosomal RNA
Rfam family: Bacterial small subunit ribosomal RNA
Source: RNAcentral